Molecule: ribosomal RNA, 271 nt
Filed under: uncultured archaeon
Lineage: Archaea
Description: partial 16S ribosomal RNA
Rfam family: Archaeal small subunit ribosomal RNA
Source: RNAcentral
CGGCGUCACGAGUGGCAAUCACAUUUAUUGGGUCUAAAGCGUUCGUAGCCUGUUUAGUAAAUCUUUUGUGAAAUUGUCGGGCUUAACUCGACAGCGUGCAGAAGACACUACUAGACUUGAGACCGGGAGGGGUUAGAAGUAUUUCAGGGGGAGCGGUAAAAUGUUAUAAUCCCUGAAGGACUACCAAUCGCGAAGGCAUCUAACCAGAACGGAUCUGACGGUGAGGAACGAAGGCCAGGGGAGCGAACCGGAUUAGAUACCCGAGUAGUCC